Molecule: RNA transcript, 3691 nt
Organism: Lycium ferocissimum
Lineage: Eukaryota; Viridiplantae; Streptophyta; Magnoliopsida; Solanales; Solanaceae
Exons: 5
Source: RefSeq, a predicted model, not a curated record
ACAUACGAGUAGCUUUCUUUCAGUGCUUCUCAAUAGAGCCUUCUAGUCUAGAGGUUCUAAACAUGGAAGGUCUUCACUCACUUCUCAAUUUUUCACUUGCUUUUCUCUCUCUUUUCUCAUUUGAGUCGAUGCUUUUCUCAUUUAUCUUAAUGUUUGAUAUUGCUGAAUGUGGUCAUGAUCAAUUGUGUUGCCACUGGGAUUACAAGGUCGUGGUUCACUGAUCUUAUCCCAGCUGAUUCCACACUAUUCACACUUAUGCUCAUCAGGUUCCAUUUUUUCAAUUAUUGAAUGAUAGUUGAGGAUUUUUGAGUUAUAGAUUGGAGUUACUUUUCGAUAUCUUUUGGGUCGCAAAAAGUUAACCUCUUGCAUUGCAAAUUUUCUGUUCCUUUGGUUUGACGUUGUUGGAAAUUGUCAGCUUAGGUGCACUAACUGCCUUAUCACUCACCACUGGAAAAAAAAAAAAAAAAAAAAGGGCUUUGAUGCAGCCAAGGUGCUUGACAAUAUGGCCAAAACAAUUGAAUAAUUUUCUAUACUUUUAGGUAAAAAUAGAUAGGUGUUAUUUUUCUCCUCCAAAUUUGUAGGAGCUUUAACGGUGAAAAUGAUUUCAAGUGUGAUUUCUUUAUCAAGACGGAAGACGGAUUAUUGACGGAGGAAGAUUGCGUACAGGCUCAGAACAAAAUAUAUUGAAAUGCAGAGUCAGAGUGAGACAGUGUAAAGUACUCAGAGUCCCAAGAAGAUAUGUCUUUGAACAUGAUAGACUACAUUGUGAUGAUCAUGGAAUGAUGUUGAUUCUGACUGUUUGAAGAAAGUAAAGGUUUGGAUUAAAAGAACACAUGUUAACUUAUGAUGCCUUUUUACAUCUGUUAGAUCAGAUUUUCGCUCCAAAUUUAUCUAUCUUUAAGCCAUAAUUUACUAUGGAUUUGGAAUUUCUUCUUCUUGAGCUGUGCGUCAUGCUUUCAAAAUUAUAUCAAGUAAGAUUGACAACUUUUCACACUGAUCAUUAUCAUGACCUUUUCGGUAUGCUGUGGAAUUUAAUUUUGAAUUCUAGGGGUAGUUUUGCUUUCAAGCUCCACCUUUGACUAUCCUUUGAAUGGUAUUGAAUCUCUCUUCUUUUAUACACGGGGAAUGAUAGUUGCUUUUGAGAAAGGUAAAUCACUGGUAAGUAUUUUUAAUGGGAUGAUUUCAGUGAAUAUGUUAAGAUAUUAAAUACUCCUUCCGUCCCAUUUUAAGUGUACUAGGCACAAAGUUUAAGAAAUAAAGAGAGAUUUCUGAAAUAUCAUUUUAUCUUGUGAUUAUAAACUUGUCAUGUAGGAUGUUUGAAUUGUCAACCUACUAAAUAUAGAAAGAGGCACUCUUUUUGGAAAAUACCAAAAAGGAAAGUAAGACACUUAAAUUGGGACGGAGGGAGUACCUAAUAUUUGAAAACAUGUGCUGAAUAUUUUCUCUUUAUAAUGACUUGCUAUACAGAGCUUGAAAGAGAAGCAGUUCUUGUAUGACAUUGUUGCUAAUGGGCGAAAUGGAAUAGAUGUUGACAAAUUUGAUUACAGCGAGCGUGACACCAGAGCUUAUGGUCUUAGGUACAAUUUUCAGUUCCAGAGCCAUGAUCUUUGUAUUCUAUUUGAUCCUUCUAUUUUCUAAAACUGAAGAAUUGGUCCCAAAAUCGCUACUAACUCUGGAAAAGUCAAUACUAUUUGUUACUUGCUAACUAAUGGAAACAAUGCGUGUUGUAGACAUCGAGAUAUCUUAUCGGGGCGAAGGAAUGUUAGUAUUCUUGAAAUUAUUAUGCUACAUGAAACAUUAACAUCUUUCAAAUAUAGUCAGGUACAACUUAAUGUGUCUUCUUCCUGGUAUCAUAUAUUUCUACGAUUUUAAUCAUUUUGUUCUGUUGUUAUGUAGUAUGAGGAUAGUGUACAACUUGAAUACCUGCAAAAUUGCGGAGGAUUCCUUGUGACGACAGCACUGGCUUAUGGCAAUGAAAACACUCCUGUUAACUAGGAGCCAAUCCAGAAGAAAUUUUAGACAGCCAUACUUAGAGCUUUGUUUAUGCCAUCAUCUAUGAAGGAUCCAAUACUCAGUAGAUGCCUGUUUCGAGAGAUAAAAUAAUGUACAGAUUUUUAGCGUUUUAGUGGUCUUCGCACAAGCAAGAUUACUUCAUUUGUAAAAUAGGACCCGAAAUGUUAUCUUGAGAACUGUUUACAAGUAAAGACAAUGAGAAGUUUUAUCCAUUGCUAACAAGAAAAAUAGCAGAUAUUUGAUUUAAGUUUAACAUUUUAUAUUCUCUCUGUCACAUUUCAAAUACAUAAACUUUUAGCAUGAUCAUUCUUUUCUAAUUCCCUGUAGAUAUAUUGCUGUCAGGAAAUAAUUAUUAAUCUAUAAUUGCCUUUCUAUUAGUGUAAAACUUAUGCUCCCUGAUUGUUAAGGGAGAACCAACUUGAAGUUACCUUGCACGUGCUCAUUUAUGGAAGAAGUUACUUAGCUCUCAUUUACAGGUCAAAUUGGGCUGUUCCAAUAGGUGAUUUGACUUUAAGAAUCACUAGCAUCAAUGCAAUUAAUUUUGAUCAGCUUCUUCAAGAGGGCCAAUGUCCUUUUAUGCAAUUUAAGGUUGGAAAAGUAAGAAUUUGCAAGUUUCUUCUACUCGUCCCCUAGCUUGCUCGGCUUGGGUGAUCGCAUCCUGUUCCUCCAACUUUGUCAGAAAUGGUAGCAGGCUGACUACAGCACAGACUGUGUAAAGAGAACAAUUUACAGGGUCAUUCCUCUUCUGUGCUAAAAACAGAUGAGGUUUAGAUGCUUGUAAACAGUGUUGCCGGUCAUCAACUAAUAGUUACAUCACAGCCCAUUUAUUGCAUAAUGCAUGUGUAGUUGAGAUAUUGUUGGAAUGCCAACUUUAGCGAAGAUUGAGGAACUAAAUAUCCUUAGACCAAGGAAAGUACCAUAUGCGUGAGAAUAGAGGUAAUUUAACUCAAUUAUCCUAUCCAUUUUGCUUGAUCAUUUCUUGUACAUGACACAGCGGGGUUACCGUCAGCCUGGUAAGCAAAUUCAAGAAGUAACUUCAAACAGGAAAAAGAAAGAAACCGCAAUAACUCGGCCACCAGAAAUCACGACAGCAAGAUAGAAGCUGGGAAAUAAUCCUAGCUAGAAAGGGAGGUAGUAGCAUUACAAUGGUGGUUUGACAGAUUGGUCUACAUGUGCAUGGCCUGUCUUCGACGCAAAUUUUUGCUGCUCGGAUAGGACAAUAUUGUACAUCAUCACUUAAGCUUUAUGAUGGGGAGGGUGCAAUUCUCCUACUUGAUGCAGAAAUCUUGCCUUGGCGAUUCAUGAAUCGACCCAAUGGAUGUGUGUCUAAAUAAUGGUCAGAUGGUUCUUGGUCUCAAUCUCUACCAAAAAAGAAGAAUGAAUGAAUGAAUGAAUGUUUUCAGAGGCUACUCUUCAGUGCUUAAUUUGAUCACCAAAGGCCUUUACAGUAAGCAAGACAGUUAUGUAUCGGCAGACUCUUAGUUUUAUCUAUGUGAGGUUUUCAUAGUUGACACCUUUAUAAUAUUCUUUUUGAUUGCUGUAGUUGAGUUUUCACAUGAUUUCCUGUAUGUUUUUCUUAAGGGCUGCAAAAUAUGAAUCAUUUGAUUUACUUCUGUGAAAUUUGAGUCCACAAUGAGAAAAUAAGAAUGUGUGCAAGAAUAUAAUUUCAUCAGACUAA